AAAUUGAAGAGUUUGAUCAUGGCUCAGAUUGAACGCUGGCGGCAGGCCUAACACAUGCAAGUCGAACGGUAACAGGAAGCAGCUUGCUGCUUCGCUGACGAGUGGCGGACGGGUGAGUAAUGUCUGGGAAGCUGCCUGAUGGAGGGGGAUAACUACUGGAAACGGUGGCUAAUACCGCAUAACGUCGCAAGACCAAAGAGGGGGACCUUCGGGCCUCUUGCCAUCAGAUGUGCCCAGAUGGGAUUAGCUAGUUGGUGAGGUAACGGCUCACCAAGGCGACGAUCCCUAGCUGGUCUGAGAGGAUGACCAGCCACACUGGAACUGAGACACGGUCCAGACUCCUACGGGAGGCAGCAGUGGGGAAUAUUGCACAAUGGGCGCAAGCCUGAUGCAGCCAUGCCGCGUGUAUGAAGAAGGCCUUAGGGUUGUAAAGUACUUUCAGCGGGGAGGAAGGUGUUGUGGUUAAUAACCGCAGCAAUUGACGUUACCCGCAGAAGAAGCACCGGCUAACUCCGUGCCAGCAGCCGCGGUAAUACGGAGGGUGCAAGCGUUAAUCGGAAUUACUGGGCGUAAAGCGCACGCAGGCGGUCUGUCAAGUCGGAUG
This 604-nucleotide ribosomal RNA is filed under the name Salmonella enterica. RNAcentral describes it as "bacterial SSU rRNA". It matches the Rfam family "Bacterial small subunit ribosomal RNA", at positions 1 to 594 of the family's 1533-position model. Lineage: Bacteria; Pseudomonadati; Pseudomonadota; Gammaproteobacteria; Enterobacterales; Enterobacteriaceae. The record is from RNAcentral.